CAUAUCCAAUUCAGCUGAUGCAUUUCGUGGUUUCUCUCCCAGUUCCACCGCAUUAGCUGUUCCCCUCUGGAGG
This 73-nucleotide small RNA is filed under the name Rhizobium etli. RNAcentral describes it as "miscellaneous other RNA". The stretch from base 13 to 73 matches the Rfam family "Alphaproteobacterial ar15", at positions 1 to 62 of the family's 112-position model. RNAcentral also lists the same sequence under 1 other name. The record is from RNAcentral. Lineage: Bacteria; Pseudomonadati; Pseudomonadota; Alphaproteobacteria; Hyphomicrobiales; Rhizobiaceae.